This 73-nucleotide transfer RNA is filed under the name Felis catus (domestic cat). It matches the Rfam family "tRNA". Rfam says of the family: Transfer RNA (tRNA) molecules are approximately 80 nucleotides in length. Their secondary structure includes four short double-helical elements and three loops (D, anti-codon, and T loops). RNAcentral also lists the same sequence under 4 other names. Lineage: Eukaryota; Metazoa; Chordata; Mammalia; Carnivora; Felidae. The record is from Rfam by way of RNAcentral.
GCCUGGUUGGCUCAGUCAGUAGAGCAUAUGACUCUUGAUCCUGGGGUUGUGAGUUUGAGCCCCAUAUUGGGUG